AUGGCGGCUGCACUUUGACCUUUGUAGUAUCCAUGCAAACAUAAUUUACCUUAGCCCCCUUACCCUUUCUUCUGGAACGGCCGGACUGGAGGGUGCGGGAGGGACGCAGAGGUUUCCAGGAUCCCUUGAUGGGAACUGGAAGCCCUUCGGGAGCGAUCCCGAGUUUGAGCUGUAGCCCUGGAUGCUGUGCUAACGCCGGCUCACAAUUAUACUUUGGAGACGGAACCAGGCUGACAGUUCUGGAUGACCUGACCAGGGUGACUCCCCCAAAGGUGACUGUGUUUCAGCCAUCUGAGGAAGAGAUUGAGAAGAAGGGAAAGGCCACUCUGGUCUGUCUGGCCACAGGCUUCUACCCUGACCUGGUGGAGCUGAGCUGGUGGGUGAAUGGGCAGGAGACCCAGGUUGGAGUCAGCACAGACCCUCAGCCUUCCAAGGAGCAGCCCUAUAAGAAUGAUUCAAGCUACUCACUGAGCAGCCGGCUCCGGGUUUCUGCUCCCUUCUGGCGCAAUCCCAAGAACAGCUUCCGUUGCCAAGUACUGUUCCAUGGGAUCUCAGAGGAUGAGGACUGGAAGGGUAAUGGGAGCAAACCUGUCACCCAGAAUGUCAGUGACCAGACCUGGGGAAAGGCAGAUUGUGGUCUUACCUCUGAGUCAUAUCAGCGCAGUAUCCAGUCCGCCACCUUCCUUUAUGAGAUCCUGCUGGGGAAGGCCAUGCUCUAUGGCCUAUUGGUCAGUGUCCUGGUAUGGAGAACCAUGGUGAAGAAAAAAUAUUCCUGAUGCCAGCUGUGGAGAUGAAAAUAGGGAAGAGAAAACAGGAUUCAGUAUCCCAUCUUCGUUUCUGUUUUCUCUAUUCCUAUUCUGUGUUCCAGAAAAGCUGUGUUCCCAGAAAAGCUAUUGUGUUCCAGAAAAGAAUAUUGUGGGAUAUUAUUAUGCCUACCUUUCAUAAGUCUCUCCAAAGAGAACAUUCCAAUUUCAAGGAGAAAAGGAUGGUGGUUUGAUCUUGAAGAAAUAAUAAUAAUAAUAAUAAUAAUAAAAGCCUUCCCUGGCUUAGCAGUUACCAUCUAUGUCUCUAUCUUUUUUCUCAUUGACUUAAUAAAGAAACAUUCUUUUAAGUCAGAACACAGAAUUCAAGAAAGUAUUAGAAUAGUUCAUGGAAAACCUGUUUGAGCAAAGGAAGAGGUUAUAUUACCAUCCUCCUUCUUGAGUUUCAAAAAAUAGUCAUCAAACUCAUAGGUACUCCAGAGAUAGAGGUAAGCCAAUGAGUGCUGGAUGUUGUAUUUAGGGGAAAAAAAACUGGACACAGGGGUAUCACAAUUUCCAAGUGAUUAAGGGAAUGUCUGAGAAGAGGUAGGCUAUAGAAGUCUGGUAUAAAGGAGAUUUGAGUCCUAUUAGAGUUAGGAGAAUGAAACAAGAGAGAUAAGGAAAGAUUGAGAAAAUGAGGAAA
Molecule: non-coding RNA, 1443 nt
Organism: Sarcophilus harrisii (Tasmanian devil)
Lineage: Eukaryota; Metazoa; Chordata; Mammalia; Dasyuromorphia; Dasyuridae
Source: the annotation of a RefSeq genome assembly